GUAACGUCAAGACUCACGGUUAUUAACCGUAGGCUUUUCUUCUCUACUGAAAGUGCCUUACAACCCGCAGGCCUUCUUCACACACGCGGCAUUGCUGGAUCAGGGUUGCCCCCAUUGUCCAAUAUUCCCC
RNAcentral lists this ribosomal RNA (130 nucleotides) under uncultured bacterium. RNAcentral describes it as "partial 16S ribosomal RNA". The record is from RNAcentral.